This 305-nucleotide ribosomal RNA is filed under the name uncultured bacterium. RNAcentral describes it as "bacterial SSU rRNA". It matches the Rfam family "Bacterial small subunit ribosomal RNA", at positions 337 to 658 of the family's 1533-position model. The record is from RNAcentral.
UCCUACGGGGGGCAGCAGUGGGGAAUAUUGCACAAUGGGGGAAACCCUGAUGCAGCAACGCCGCGUGAAGGAAGACGGUUUUCGGAUUGUAAACUUCUGUUCUUAGUGAAGAAAAAUGACGGUAGCUAAGGAGCAAGCCACGGCUAACUACGUGCCAGCAGCCGCGGUAAUACGUAGGUGGCAAGCGUUAUCCGGAUUUACUGGGUGUAAAGGGCGAGUAGGCGGGAUUGCAAGUCAGAUGUGAAAACUAUGGGCUCAACCGAUAGAGUGCAUUUGAAACUGCAGUUCUUGAGUGAUGGAGAGGG